RNAcentral lists this unclassified non-coding RNA (343 nucleotides) under Hevea brasiliensis (rubber tree). The record is from RNAcentral. Lineage: Eukaryota; Viridiplantae; Streptophyta; Magnoliopsida; Malpighiales; Euphorbiaceae.
GUCAUGUUGAGAGCAGCCUGCAUAUCUCCCCUAGUCUCAUCUAGGUCCUCCGCAAGCUCCCCCACUCGGUUCUCCAACCCAUCAACCCUUGACUCCUCACCAGCCACGUGAAGUUCUAACUUGGACAGCCUAGUCUCAAAGUCACCUACCUCUUCCCUCACCCGAGAUGGUUCUCUUGACUUGGCCUGCCCUUUUCUCCUUCCCCUCGUCACUGUAGGUUCCUCUGCCACAGAGGUGCCGCCAGCCUGUUCUUGGUCACUAGUGUCAGCCAUUCCCACCGAGCAACUCUCAAUGCUCUGAUACCACUUGUCACGGCACUUUUGUUUCCACUCCAACUACAAGG